GGAUCAGUUCGCUGGUCGUGCCUCUGGUAUGUACUGGUGUUACUGGUUCCUCCCUUCUGACGAACUGUCAUGUCAUUUAUUUGGUGUGGCAGGGAAUCAGGACUGUUACUUUGAAAAAAUUAGAGUGUUCAAGGCAAGCGUUUGCUUGAAUAUUGCAGCUGGGAAUAAUAACAAAGGCUUCGGGCCAUGUUGUUGGUUUCACGGACUGAAGA
Molecule: ribosomal RNA, 212 nt
Filed under: uncultured fungus
Lineage: Eukaryota; Fungi
Description: partial small subunit ribosomal RNA
Source: RNAcentral